AUUGAACGCUGGCGGCAGGCCUAACACAUGCAAGUCGAGCGGAUGAAGGGAGCUUGCUCCUGGAUUCAGCGGCGGACGGGUGAGUAAUGCCUAGGAAUCUGCCUGGUAGUGGGGGAUAACGUCCGGAAACGGGCGCUAAUACCGCAUACGUCCUGAGGGAGAAAGUGGGGGAUCUUCGGACCUCACGCUAUCAGAUGAGCCUAGGUCGGAUUAGCUAGUUGGUGGGGUAAAGGCCUACCAAGGAGACGAUCCGUAACUGGUCUGAGAGGAUGAUCAGUCACACUGGAACUGAGACACGAUCCAGACUCCUACGGGAGGCAGCAGUGGGGAAUAUUGGACAAUGGGCGAAAGCCUGAUCCAGCCAUGCCGCGUGUGUGAAGAAGGUCUUCGGAUUGUAAAGCACUUUAAGUUGGGAGGAAGGGCAGUAAGUUAAUACCUUGCUGUUUUGACGUUACCAACAGAAUAAGCACCGGCUAACUUCGUG
Molecule: ribosomal RNA, 484 nt
Filed under: uncultured bacterium
Lineage: Bacteria
Description: partial 16S ribosomal RNA
Rfam family: Bacterial small subunit ribosomal RNA
Source: RNAcentral